Molecule: non-coding RNA, 113 nt
Filed under: Pteridomonas danica
Lineage: Eukaryota; Dictyochophyceae; Pedinellales
Source: RNAcentral
CCAGCCCCACGCUGUUCUCGCUGCUCGACAGCUGCAAGACCGGCACGGGCAGCCGCAUGCUGCGCCAGUGGCUGCUGCAUCCAAAGCGCGAACGGGCCGAGGCCCACGCGCGU